Molecule: ribosomal RNA, 595 nt
Filed under: Escherichia coli
Lineage: Bacteria; Pseudomonadati; Pseudomonadota; Gammaproteobacteria; Enterobacterales; Enterobacteriaceae
Description: partial 23S ribosomal RNA
Rfam family: Bacterial large subunit ribosomal RNA
Source: RNAcentral
CCUGAAUCAGUGUGUGUGUUAGUGGAAGCGUCUGGAAAGGCGCGCGAUACAGGGUGACAGCCCCGUACACAAAAAUGCACAUGCUGUGAGCUCGAUGAGUAGGGCGGGACACGUGGUAUCCUGUCUGAAUAUGGGGGGACCAUCCUCCAAGGCUAAAUACUCCUGACUGACCGAUAGUGAACCAGUACCGUGAGGGAAAGGCGAAAAGAACCCCGGCGAGGGGAGUGAAAAAGAACCUGAAACCGUGUACGUACAAGCAGUGGGAGCACGCUUAGGCGUGUGACUGCGUACCUUUUGUAUAAUGGGUCAGCGACUUAUAUUCUGUAGCAAGGUUAACCGAAUAGGGGAGCCGAAGGGAAACCGAGUCUUAACUGGGCGUUAAGUUGCAGGGUAUAGACCCGAAACCCGGUGAUCUAGCCAUGGGCAGGUUGAAGGUUGGGUAACACUAACUGGAGGACCGAACCGACUAAUGUUGAAAAAUUAGCGGAUGACUUGUGGCUGGGGGUGAAAGGCCAAUCAAACCGGGAGAUAGCUGGUUCUCCCCGAAAGCUAUUUAGGUAGCGCCUCGUGAAUUCAUCUCCGGGGGUAGAGCACU